UCUGAGGGUCCAGGUUCAUUACUGAAGUUCAGAGGAAUAUGUUUUGACCAAUCACUCUUCAUAGACAGACAGCUAGACACUGGAGACUCUGCUCUGUCCUCCUCUUUGUCUACAAAUACACUCAUCUUCUGGACUUCAGUUAGUCUGAGACAAUAACACUGACUGAGUUCAGAGCACAAGAAUCAAGAAAAACAGGUUUGUUCAACAGUCAUACGCCAGACUAGGGAGAAGUGAGGGGGUGGUGGCGAAAACAUGAGUUCAAAAAUCCACUUACUGAAGUUUUAAAGCUUUCAGCUGCAAGCUCCAGAUCAUUUAACACAAGUAAUCAGUUAAAGAGUAAAAUUAGAGAAUCAGGACACAGAAUCAAGGUUCAUUACUGAAGAAUGGAGGCUCAUCUUUGGAGUAAUCACUCUUCAUAGACAGACAGCUGGACACUGGAGACUCUGCUCUGUCCUCCUCUUCCUCCACACAAACACUCAUCUUCCUUCAAUCAGUCAGUCUGAGAGAUAAAAUAAUAACACUGACUCAAAACAGAAGAAUCAGGAAAAACAGGUUUGUUCAAGAGUGACACGCGGGACUGAUAGUACAAGCAGUAACACACAGAGCCGUUUCUUGCUAUAUGCGGACUAUGCGGCUGCACAGGGUCCCGCAGCUACCAGGGGGCCCCCAAACUGCAAGUUCAGCCUCAUAUUUUAUUAUAUUUUGGAGAAUUAAAAGUACCUGUCUUUAUUUGCAUGUAUUGCAUGCAUUCAUUAUGCAUUUAUUUGCAAAGCAUGUAAGUGUUAAGGGUAAUCAGGUCAAAAUCACCUUUGGGCUGGGCCGUCACGUGGUAAGUGACGUGCAACGACAGGUCUGACGGGAUGAUUGACAGCCGCCCACCUUCCACUGAAGUGACGAGAAUAACCGUAGACGCUGAUUACAAUGUCAUCGAAACGUACUUACGCGUCUGAUGCAGAGAAACGCAAAAAGAAGAAAACAGAUGAAGAAAAACGAUCACAGGAUAAAGGAGCAAUUUCCUACUUCAGAGGUCCAGUUCAAGGAGAGCCAGGGGGACCUUCAUCAGCUUCUGACCAGAAAGCAGAAAUUUUGAGGAGGAGGACUGUGAUCAUACAGAUCCUCAUCACAAAGUAGUGAUGUUGUACAGUUACAAUACUACAAUACAUACUACUAUAUGUAACUACAUAACUAGUUUUUUUAUUGAUUUUUUAUUGAUUGUGCAAUAACAUGGAUGCUGGUCCAUUAUACUUAUUUAUUUAAGUAAGUUUAGUUAUUUAUUUUUUACUGUUUUGGAAUGGUGGGUUAAAGCUUUUUUAUGUUAUGCCACCUUGUUAUGCCACCAAGUUUAGAUUAAACAUUUUUCAAGAA
Long non-coding RNA from Dicentrarchus labrax (European seabass), 1365 nucleotides. RefSeq lists it as uncharacterized. Lineage: Eukaryota; Metazoa; Chordata; Actinopteri; Moronidae. The record is from RefSeq and is a predicted model, not a curated record. The transcript has 3 exons.